GCGCGAAAACUUUACAAUGCUGGCAACAGCGAUAAGGGAACCUCGAGUGCCAGGUUACAAAUCUGGCUGUCGAGAUGCCUAAAAAGCAUUUCAUAGCAAGGGCCGGGCAAGACCGGUGCCAGCCGCCGCGGUAACACCGGCGGCUCGAGUGGUAACCGUUAUUAUUGGGUCUAAAGGGUCUGUAGCCGGCCGGAUAAGUCUCUUGAGAAAUCUGGCAGCUUAACUGUCAGGCUUUCAGGAGAUACUGUCUGGCUGGAGGUCGGGAGAGGU
This 270-nucleotide ribosomal RNA is filed under the name uncultured bacterium. RNAcentral describes it as "partial 16S ribosomal RNA". It matches the Rfam family "Archaeal small subunit ribosomal RNA", at positions 339 to 609 of the family's 1478-position model. The record is from RNAcentral.